AAGUUAAAGUACAACAUUACAUUACUUUUCCAUUUGGAUCCUGUGCUUUUCUCUGUCCUUGGAGCUCUGGUUCCUCACCACCUGCACCUCUUUACCACCUGCAAUCUAUCAACAGCAAUCAGCUAGGUGAUACUCUUCACCAGCACAGCCCUCAACUCACCACCAGUUUGUCAGCUACCUCAUGACGUUCAGUCGUCAAGACCUACAGCUCAAACUUCUGGACGCCAUCUUCUAUGGAUAACAUAAACUUAAGUUUGGAACCUCUCUCGGCUACCUUCCCCGGAGCCUCAUGGCUUUGACCUUCAAGUAAGGCCAUAACCACAGAACCCAUCUUAUCCACAAAAAAGUUUGCUAAGAUCUUGUCACUGUGUCUUGUUGAGGCUGUUUUUGGGUUCACUCCCACAUACUGGUCCUCAGACCCUUGUGACAAUUACAAGCUCAGAGCAUUGUUGCUAAAGUACAUUAGGUCAAUCAAAAAAAACAAAA
Molecule: long non-coding RNA, 486 nt
Organism: Oreochromis niloticus (Nile tilapia)
Lineage: Eukaryota; Metazoa; Chordata; Actinopteri; Cichliformes; Cichlidae
Exons: 3
Source: RefSeq, a predicted model, not a curated record